Long non-coding RNA from Apteryx owenii (little spotted kiwi), 265 nucleotides. NCBI's taxonomy places the organism in Eukaryota, Metazoa, Chordata, Aves, Apterygiformes, Apterygidae. The record is from Ensembl.
CAAGGUUAAAGCAAUAACGUAACAUUUCCCUAUCUCUAGAAACUCAAGGGGAAGCAGAAGGCAAAGAGCCGAACCCAGGGCAGUAGUGCGGAAGGACCCCUUUGCAUUCCACCUUGCCGGCACUUGGUUCCCGUGUCCUGGGAGGAACCUCUGGAGUCCGACCACAGGGCAGCUGCGCGGUGCGGGUGCAGGGACCCCUGACAUCAGCAGCAGGAGGGACUACUGGCGUAAAGGUUCGCCAUGCAGCGGAGGAAGACCAUGGAUG